Molecule: long non-coding RNA, 1301 nt
Filed under: Oryctolagus cuniculus (rabbit)
Lineage: Eukaryota; Metazoa; Chordata; Mammalia; Lagomorpha; Leporidae
Description: lncRNA (ENSOCUG00000030753.1)
Source: RNAcentral
CCAUCCUUCGGAAAGUUUUGCUAGCUGCUUUUGAGUACUUCCCCCCUAUGGCUAUCAUCAGUACAAGGCCUUAGUCUGAACCUGAAAUCUUGGUUACCAAAAGAAUCAGUAAGUAAGCAGUCAACCUGUUAAUUAUUUCCAUGGAGAGGAAUGGCAAGGCGGAAGGGAGAAUGCAGGGUGGCGGGCGGAGCGCUGGAGGCUGCUUAUAUUGGCGAGGACAGGCGUCGUUAAUGAGAUGCAAGGACUACACCGCCACCGGUGGAUUUCAGGCCAUGGGGACACCCCCCCCCCCCCGCGCCCCAACGAGUGGCGUAUUCUUUCAGGAUGGCAUCAGGGGCUGGAAGAGUCAUUCUUGGCAUCAAGGCCUUGGCUAAGCUGAGCUUUGCACCCUGGAAUCCACUGAGGAGGCAGGUCGUUGCUCAUGCUCACAUACAUCACAUCUGCCUUGGUUUCCUGUUUGCACAGUCCACAUUGUAUCUCUUUGAAGAACUGUAAGGUCUUUACACCCCUGACUGUUUCCUUCGUGUAAUUUAUUUUCUACAACAGCUGGAAUCUUUGGCUUUUGCCCCUUACCUCCCUGGGGCUAUGGGUGACUCAGAGCUGACCCUGACCACCCUGUCCACUUUUCUGCAUCUCACUGGGGCCCAAGCACUUCUUUGAAAUCGUACUUUACUUGCUGAGCUCUGUGUAUGAAACAGACUCAAGUUCCUUCUAUAGAAUCCCUCAAAGUUUAUUUGGUGGGCCAAUUAUCCACCACCCUUCCUAAAGAUCAGCUUUUGUUGGGACAGGAAGAGGCUCUCAUAAGAAGCGUUCAGUGACUAAGAUUUCUCCGUUCACCCUUUUCCUCUUUUAGUCAAUUAAUUUAUUUGAAAGGCAGAGUUACAGAGAGAGAGGGAGAGACACAGAGAGAAACAUCUUCUAUCUUCUGGUUCAUUCUCCAAAUGGCUACAUGGUUGGGGCUAAGCCAGGCUGAAGCCAGGAGCCUGUAACUCCAUCUGGGUCUCCUUCAUGGGUAGAGAGAACCCAGGCACAUUAACAGGGAGCUGGAUCCUAAGUGGAGUGGCCAAGACUCGAACUGCUUUGCAUAUGGGAUGCUGGUAUUACAGGCAGCGGCUCAACCCACUAUGCCACAGUGCUGGUCCUUCUCCUUUCACUCUUGUAACUCUUCUCAGAGGAUGGAAAAUGGGUGUUAUUCUGGCUUUUUGGGAAAACACUCUGAAGCCUCAAUUCUUCUAGAGUUCAGUUUUCUUAAAAUGCAAAGCCCACUAGUUUCAAGAGCCGACUUUGGAAUUUGCAGUGGA